CAGGGAAACCGAUAUGACCGCAGUGCUUUGCACCAGGGUCACCGUGUUCAAGCGCGGGGAGUCAAACGGGCACGACCCGAAACCGGACGAUCUAGGCGUGGACAAGGUGAAGCGUGCCGAAAGGUGCGUGGAGGCCUGUUAGAGUUGGUGUCCUACAAUACCCUCUCGUGAUCUACGUCUAGGGGUGAAAGGCCCAUCGAGUCCGGAAACAGCUGGUUCCAACCGAAACAUGUCGAAGCAUGACCUCUGCCGAGGUAGUUCGUGGGGUAGAGCAACGGAUUGGGGGACCGCACUCCGAGAGGAGUGCGCCCCCCUGUCCAACUCCGAACCUACGAACGCCGUUUGACGCAGGGAGUCCGGUGCGCGGGGUAAGCCUGUGUACCGUGAGGGAGACAACCCAGAGCUGGGUUAAGGUCCCCAAGUGUGGACUAAGUGCGAUCGAAGGUGGUCUCAAGCCCUAGACAGCCGGGAGGUGAGCUUAGAAGCAGCUACCCUCUAAGAAAAGCGUAACAGCUUACCGGCCGAGGUUUGAGGCGCCCAAAAUGAUCGGGGCUCAAGUCCACCACCGAGACCUAGCGGCACUCUUUGUCGAGUGAUUCCGUAGGUUGGCGUUCUGUUCGGGCGGAAGCAUGGUCGAGAGAUCGUGUGGACCGUUCAGUAACGAAAAUCCUGGUCAUAGUAGCAGCGUUAGUCGGGUUAGAACCCCGACGGCCGAACGAGUAAGGGUUCCUCAGCAAUGCUGAUCAGCUGAGGGUUAGCCGGUCCUAAGUCAGCCCGUAAGUCGAAGCUGACAACAGGGAAAUAGGUUAAUAUUCCUAUGCCAGUGUGCACUCAAAGCCAACGCUUUGGGGCCGCCUGAGCUGGGCUUUCGCCCAGUCGAACUGUCAAAGUUCGUGGAAGCCGUAAUGGCACGAAGCGAGCGAACGGCAGGAUAGCGCAAGUCAGGUCAACCCAGAGCCCGUGAAAAGGCAAGCACACUGUCCGUACCGAGAUCCGACACAGGUACUCGUGGCGGCGAAAGCCAAGGUCUGUCGGGAGCAACCGACGUUAGGGAAUUCGGCAAGUUAGUCCCGUACGUUCGCAAUAAGGGAUGCCUGCCUCGCGAAGAGGCAGGUCGCAGUGACUCGGGCGCUCCGACUGUCUAGUAACAACAUAGGUGACCGCAAAUCCGUAAGGACUCGUACGGUCACUGAAUCCUGCCCAGUGCAGGUAUCUGAACACCCCGUACAAGGGGACGAAGGACCUGUUAACGGCGGGGGUAACUAUGACCCUCUUAAGGUAGCGUAGUACCUUGCCGCUUUAGUAGCGGCUUGCAUGAAUGGAUCAACGAGAGCGCCACUGUCCCAACGUUGGGCCCGGUGAACUGUACGUUCCAGUGCGGAGUCUGGAGACCCCCAAGGGGAAGCGAAGACCCUAUAGAGCUUUACUGCAGGCUGUCACUGAGACGUGGUCGCCAUUGUGCAGCAUAGGUAGGAGCCAGUACACAGGUACCCGCGCUAGCGGGCCACCGAGGCAGCAUUGAAAUACUACCCGAUGGUGACUGCGACUCUCACUCCUGGCGGAGGACACUGGUAGCCGGGCAGUUUGACUGGGGCGGUACGCGCUUGAAAAGAUAUCGAGCGCGCCCCAAGAUUUCCUCACUCGGGUCGGAGACCCGAGGAAGAGCGCAAGAGCAAAAGGAAGUCUGACAGUGUCCGGCACAACGACGGACGCUGACGCGAAAGCGUGGUCUAGCGAACCAAUUAGGCUGCUUGAUGCGGCCAAUUGCUGACAGAAAAGCUACCUUAGGGAUAACAGAGUCGUCACCCGCAAGAGCACAUAUCGACCGGGUGGCUUGCUACCUCGAUGUCGGUUCCCUCCAUCCUGCCCGUGCAGAAGCGGGCAAGGGUGAGGUUGUUCGCCUAUUAAAGGAGGUCGUGAGCUGGGUUUAGACCGUCGUGAGACAGGUCGGCUGCUAUCUAUUGGGGGUGUGCGGUAUCUGACGGGAACGAUCGUAUAGUACGAGAGGAACUACGAUUGGGUGCCACUGGUGUACCGGUUGUUCGAAAGAGCACGUGCCGGGCAGCCACGCACCACGGGGUAAGAGCUGAACGCAUCUAAGCUCGAAACCCACCUGGAAAAGAGAUACCAUCAAGGCCACUCGUAGAAGACGAGAUCGAUAGACUCGGGAUGUACGCGCCAAGGCAACGAGGCGUUGAGUCCGCGAGCACUAAUCGGCCAAGCC
RNAcentral lists this ribosomal RNA (2224 nucleotides) under Natronorubrum thiooxidans. RNAcentral describes it as "bacterial LSU rRNA". It matches the Rfam family "Archaeal large subunit ribosomal RNA", at positions 713 to 2975 of the family's 2987-position model. The record is from RNAcentral. Lineage: Archaea; Methanobacteriati; Methanobacteriota; Halobacteria; Halobacteriales; Natrialbaceae.